AGGACAAACGCUGGCGGCGUACUUAAGACAUGCAAGUCGAACGGGCGCUUCACCUUCGGGUGGGUGUGCUAGUGGCGGACGGGUGAGUAACGCGUAGGAACCUGUCAUCAAGAGGGGGGAUAACGCUGGGAAACCGGCGCUAAUACCGCAUGUGGUCAUGAAAAUGAAGAAAGCAGCAAUGCGCUUGAUGAGGGGCCUGCGUCCGAUUAGCUUGUUGGUGGGGUAAAGCCUACCAAGGCAUCGAUCGGUAGCUGGUCUGAGAGGAUGGUCAGCCACACUGGGACUGAGACACGGCCCAGACUCCUACGGGAGGCAGCAGUUAGGAAAUUUUCCCAAUGGGCGCAAGCCUGAGGGAGUAACGCCGCGUGGAGGAUGACGGCUUUCGGGUUGUAAACUCCUUUUCUGUGGGAAGAGUAGAAGACGGUACCGCAGGAUAAGCCUCGGCUAACUACGCGCCAGCAGCCGC
Molecule: ribosomal RNA, 466 nt
Filed under: uncultured bacterium
Lineage: Bacteria
Description: SSU rRNA
Rfam family: Bacterial small subunit ribosomal RNA
Source: RNAcentral